RNAcentral lists this ribosomal RNA (253 nucleotides) under uncultured bacterium. RNAcentral's name for it is "partial 16S ribosomal RNA". It matches the Rfam family "Bacterial small subunit ribosomal RNA", at positions 524 to 776 of the family's 1533-position model. The record is from RNAcentral.
UACGUAGGGACCGAGCGUUGUCCGGAAUCAUUGGGCGUAAAGAGCGUGUAGGCGGCCAACUAAGUCCUGCGUGAAAUCUCGGGGCUCAACCCCGAGCGGUCGUGGGAAACUGGUUGGCUAGAGUGCGGGAGAGGAGAGUGGAAUCCCUGGUGUAGCGGUGAAAUGCGCAGAUAUCAGGAAGAACACCCGUGGCGAAGGCGGCUCUCUGGAACGCAACUGACGCUGAGACGCGAAAGCGUGGGGAGCAAACAGG